This 525-nucleotide ribosomal RNA is filed under the name uncultured Alphaproteobacteria bacterium. Its description in RNAcentral is "bacterial SSU rRNA". It matches the Rfam family "Bacterial small subunit ribosomal RNA", at positions 355 to 896 of the family's 1533-position model. Lineage: Bacteria; Pseudomonadati; Pseudomonadota; Alphaproteobacteria. The record is from RNAcentral.
UGGGGAAUAUUGGACAAUGGGGGCAACCGUGAUCCAGCAAUGCCGCGUGUGUGAUGAAGGCCUUAGGGUUGUAAAGCACUUUCACUGGUGAAGAUGAUGACGGUAACCAGAGAAGAAGCCCCGGCUAACUUCGUGCCAGCAGCCGCGGUAAUACGAAGGGGGCGAGCGUUGUUCGGAAUUACUGGGCGUAAAGGGCGCGUAGGCGGUCUUUUAAGUUAGGCGUGAAAGCCCCGGGCUCAACCCGGGAACUGCGCUUAAGACUGGAAGACUAGAAAACGGAAGAGGGUAGUGGAAUUCCCAGUGUAGAGGUGAAAUUCGUAGAUAUUGGGAAGAACACCAGUGGCGAAAGCGGCUACCUGGUCCGAUUUUGACGCUGAGGCGCGAAAGCGUGGGGAGCAAACAGGAUUAGAUACCCCUGGUAGUCCACCGCCGUAAACGAUGUCUGCUAGAUGUCGGGGGGUUGCCCCUCCGGUGUCGCCGCUAACGCAUUAAGCAGACCGCCUGGGAAGUACGGUCGCCAGAUUA